This 166-nucleotide ribosomal RNA is filed under the name uncultured Legionella sp. Its description in RNAcentral is "partial 16S ribosomal RNA". It matches the Rfam family "Bacterial small subunit ribosomal RNA", at positions 17 to 178 of the family's 1533-position model. Lineage: Bacteria; Pseudomonadati; Pseudomonadota; Gammaproteobacteria; Legionellales; Legionellaceae. The record is from RNAcentral.
UCCUGGCUUAGAUUGAACGCUGGCAGCAUGCUUAACACAUGCAAGUCGAACAGCAGCAGAGUCUAGCUUGCGAGACAGAUGGCGAGUGGCGAACGGGUGAGUAACGCGUAGGAAUCUGCCUUGCAGAGGGGGACAACCAGAGAUACUCAAUUUAUACCGCAUAAUG